UACAGAGGGUGCAAGCGUUGCUCGGAAUUACUGGGCGUAAAGGGCAGGUAGGUGGUCGAAUUUGUGUGGGGUGAAAGCCUCGGGCUUAACCCGAGAAGUGCCCCGCAAACGGUUCGACUGGAGUCACGGAGAGGUUAGCGGAAUUCCCGGUGUAGCGGUGAAAUGCGUAGAGAUCGGGAGGAACAUCAGAGGCGAAGGCGGCUAACUGGACGUGUACUGACACUCAACUGCGAAAGCGUGGGGAGCAAACAGG
This 253-nucleotide ribosomal RNA is filed under the name uncultured bacterium. Its description in RNAcentral is "partial 16S ribosomal RNA". It matches the Rfam family "Bacterial small subunit ribosomal RNA", at positions 524 to 776 of the family's 1533-position model. The record is from RNAcentral.